Molecule: ribosomal RNA, 1432 nt
Filed under: uncultured bacterium
Lineage: Bacteria
Description: bacterial SSU rRNA
Rfam family: Bacterial small subunit ribosomal RNA
Source: RNAcentral
AGAGUUUGAUCCUGGCUCAGGAUGAACGCUGGCGGCAUGCCUAAUACAUGCAAGUCGUGCGGAAACACUUCGGGUGUCGAGCGGCGGACGGGUGAGUAACGCGUUAGUAUCUGCCCCAAACUGAGGGAUAGCCCACCGAAAGGUGGAUUAAUACCUCAUGUGGCCUUCGGGUUAAAGACUUCGGUCGGUUUGGGAGGAGCUUGCGUCUGAUUAGUUAGUUGGUGAGGUAAUGGCUUACCAAGACGAUGAUCAGUAGCUGGUCUGAGAGGAUGAUCAGUCACACUGGAACUGAGACACGGUCCAGACUCCUACGGGAGGCAGCAGUAGGGAAUUUUCCACAAUGGGUGAGAGCCUGAUGGAGCAAUGCCGCGUGCCAGACGAAGGCCUUCGGGUCGUAAACGGCUUUUAUGGGGGAAGAUUAUGACGGUACCCCACGAAUAAGCCACGGCUAACUCCGUGCCAGCAGCCGCGGUCAUACGGAGGUGGCAAGCGUUAUCCGGAAUUACUGGGCGUAAAGAGAUGCGUAGGCGGUUUGUUAAGUAGACAAUGAAAUGUUGAGGCUCAACCUCAAAGCUAUUGUCUAAACUAAUAAACUAGAGAAUAAGAGGGGUAACUGGAAUUUCUGGUGUAGGAGUGAAAUCCGUAGAUAUCAGAAGGAACACCAAUGGCGAAGGCAGGUUACUGGCUUAUUUCUGACGCUAAGGCUCGAAAGCGUGGGUAGCGAACGGGAUUAGAUACCCCGGUAGUCCACGCCGUAAACGAUGAAUGCUAGCUAUUUGGAGGUAUCGACCCCUUCAGAAGCGAAGCUAACGCGUUAAGCAUUCCGCCUGGGGACUACGAUCGCAAGAUUAAAACUCAAAGGAAUUGACGGGGACCCGCACAAGCGGUGGAGCGUGUUGUUUAAUUGGAUGAUAAGCCAAGAACCUUACCUAGGUUUGACAUCCUCCGAAGGACUACGAAAGUAGUUUGUGCCUUUUGGAACGGAGUGACAGGUGUUGCAUGGCCGUCGUCAGCUCGUGUCGUGAGAUGUUAGGUUAAGUCCUUCAACGAGCGCAACCCUUAUGUUUAGUUGGAUUUUUCUAAACAGACUGCCUCGGUAACGGGGAGGAAGGAGGGGAUGAUGUCAGGUCCGUAUUACCCUUACACCUAGGGCCACAAACGCGCUACAAUGGCCGGUACAACGGGCAGCUACGUCGCGAGACUUUAGCUAAUCUCAUCAAUGCCGGUCCCAGUUCGGAUUGCAGGCUGAAACUCGCCUGCAUGAAGUCGGAAUCGCUAGUAACCGUGGGUCAGAACACCACGGUGAAUACGUUCCCGGGUCUUGUACACACCGCCCGUCAUGUCACGAAAGCUGGAAGCACCCGAAGUGUCGCCCGAGGCGACCCCAAGGUGAGACCAGUGAUUGGGAUAAAGUCGUAACAAGGUAACCGUA